GAGCAUUUGGAGUGUUGCAGGCU
Molecule: small nuclear RNA, 23 nt
Filed under: Arabidopsis thaliana (thale cress)
Lineage: Eukaryota; Viridiplantae; Streptophyta; Magnoliopsida; Brassicales; Brassicaceae
Description: snRNA_14235
Source: RNAcentral